GGAGUUGAAUGCAGCCAAGGAUGACUUGCCGGCGAUUCAUGUAUAUCGCCGGCGUGAAUGUGGGGCGGCGCGGCGGCAAGUCGUCCUUGGCUACCUUGAGUUCUCU
Molecule: non-coding RNA, 106 nt
Organism: Cucumis sativus (cucumber)
Lineage: Eukaryota; Viridiplantae; Streptophyta; Magnoliopsida; Cucurbitales; Cucurbitaceae
Source: Rfam